Molecule: RNA transcript, 1022 nt
Organism: Equus caballus (horse)
Lineage: Eukaryota; Metazoa; Chordata; Mammalia; Perissodactyla; Equidae
Gene: DYDC1
Gene name: DPY30 domain containing 1
Source: RefSeq, a predicted model, not a curated record
GGCUCGGUGCUCGGCUGGGCUGCGGCUGCAGAGGCGGUUUCGGACGUUGGCCCUCGCGGACCGUGCGGGGCGCGGGCGACGCUCCCGAGUCUAGCGGGGUCAGUUCAGCGCCGGCGGCUCCGCGGGUGCGCCCUCGGCUCCUCCUCCUCCGCUGCCUCCUCCUCCGCUGCCUUCUCCUCCGCUGCUGCCUCCGCCUCCGCCGCCGCCUCCUCGAGGAAGUGAGGAGUCCGAGAUGGAGUCAAUGUAUCUUCAGAAGCACCUUGGGGCGUGUCUAACUCAAGGUCUUGCAGAGGUGGCGAGAGUCCGCCCCGUGGACCCAAUAGAGUAUUUAGCGUUGUGGAUCUACAAGUAUAAGGAGAACGUGACCAUGGAGCAGCUGAGACAACAGGAAAUGGCUGACUUGGCACGAGAGAGACAGCACGCCCUGAUGGAGCAGGAAAUGAUGGAGAGGCUUAGAGCAGAGGAGCUCCUGUUUCAGCAGCAACAGCUGGCAUUCCAGCUGGAGUUGGAAAUGCAGGAAAAAGAGACACAGAGAACAGAGGAACUGCAGAGAGCUCAAGAACAAUUGGAAAAGGAGGCGAGACUGGAUAUGGACAGUAUGGCUAAGAGCGAAGAUACUUCACAUUCAGAGGACGCAGCAGCAGACUCAGGCAAGACGCUCGCUGAAAUCAGUGAUCGAUACGGCGCGCCCAACCUGAGCAGAGUGGAGGAGCUCGAUGAGCCGAUGCUGUCCGACGGAGCUGGAAAGUUCCAGUGAACAAAACAGAGUGGUUCCUGCCCUUUGGGGGCCGUGGAACCAAUGGACCAGAGCAGGGAAACCUGACCAAGCCUGGACGAGUCUUCUGGAGGAAAUGAGUUUUAAGGAAUCAGCCUGAGAUAAACCCAGCGGAUGGAGAAAGCAAGAUGCUUUGGAGGAUGUGAAAUGGUCGAGUAUUCUGGUUGCAUUAAACAUUGACCAAGAUUUGUAGGAUCAACCAACUUAAGAGCAAUAAAUUGUUCUGCCUGUUUCGAGUUUCAAAAUA